GUUAUAUUCGGAAAUAUUUAGCCACUAUUCGCCGCCAAUUUCGGAUUGUUUCAGCGGUCACCCUGCGAUCAACGAUUGCGUUUACAUUGGCGGUGAUCCAGAUUCAAAGAGGAGAACUCAUUGUCAGUUCGUAGUCUACCGCUAGACUGUGGCUAUUGACUCUGUCUCUUCGCAAGUCGUGGCUCCGGGUAUUAUCGCGUUAGGAUUCGCGAAGUGAGUCAGUUGGCGGUAACGAGCCCCCGCGAUAAUCCGACUACCAGCAUCGUCUCGUUAUCUGCAGUGUGUAAUUUGGUCUUCGUCAUAUCGCGAACAGACUGUUAACCGCAGCUGCUUGAUUUCAAACAGGGAUAAAUACAGGAAUCGACCGAAGCGAUGGGUCGCACGAAGAAGAAGGUCUGCAUCGUCGGGAGCGGAAAUUGGGGAUCGGCCAUCGCCAAAAUCGUCGGAGCGAACACCGUCAAGUUCAACACCAAGUUCGAAGAGCGGGUCACGAUGUACGUUUACGAGGAAAUGAUAAACGGGAAGAAACUUACCGAGAUCAUCAACGAGCAGCACGAAAACGUGAAGUACCUUCCGGGCCACAAACUUCCGGAGAACGUGGUCGCCGUUCCCGAUCUCAUCGAGGCAGCGAAGGACGCCGACUUUCUGAUCUUCGUUAUCCCUCAUCAAUUUAUCCGAACCCUGUGCGCGACUCUGCUUGGAAAAAUAAAGCCAACAGCCGUCGGCCUGUCGCUGAUAAAAGGCUUUGAUCAAGGCGAUGGAAAAUCGAUCGAGCUGAUAUCGAAGAUAAUCGAAAACCUGCUAAAAAUACAAUGCUACGUUCUGAUGGGAGCAAAUCUCGCCAACGAAGUUGCAGAGGGGAAAUUUUGCGAGACUACGAUAGGCUGCAAGGAUAAGAGAACCGCGCCUCUUUUGCGAGACAUGAUUCAAACCGAAAAUUUCAGAGUUGUUGUAGUCGAAGAUGCCGACGCCGUCGAAGUCUGCGGUGCUCUCAAGAAUAUCGUUGCCUGCGGUGCGGGUUUCGUCGAUGGUUUGGGCCUCGGCGAUAACACAAAAGCGGCGGUAAUCAGACUGGGACUGAUGGAGAUGGUGAAAUUCGUCGACACUUUUUACGGUGGUUCGAAGCUCUCGACUUUCUUCGAAAGCUGUGGAGUAGCCGAUCUGAUAACGACUUGCUACGGAGGCCGAAAUCGACGCGUCUGCGAGCAGUUCGUAACGAGCGGAAAGACGAUUAAGCAACUCGAAGACGAGCUUCUUGCAGGCCAGAAACUCCAGGGACCAGCAACCGCUGACGAGGUUCACACGAUGCUUGUAAAUCGCGGUGCCACCGACAAGUUUCCGCUCUUCACGGCCGUUCAUCGCAUCUGCAUCGCUGAGCUGAAACCUGCCGAAUUUAUCGACCAAAUUCGAAGCCAUCCCGAGCACGUGUUCGCGCCGAAAGCUCUCUACGUUUACUAGAAGACUUUCAAGCAUUAGGAUCUCGCAGCGUUUCAAGCAAAAUUAUUUGAUUGAUUUUCCGUUUGAAAUUAUUCCUGGUUUUUUUUUUUUUUUGUGUGGUUUGCUUUUGGCUAACUUUCGUUCGUUCACCAUCACGGCGAGUGGUCGACAAUUUGUUACGUAUUAACCACGGAAAAAAUCGGAGCACCGACUAACGCUUGAAAUUAGAUAACUGCAUUAUAGUGUACGAAUGAGACUGGACGGCGUUAUUGAAGACGACGACGAAGGAGCUGCCUAGGAAAUGCGACAGUCCGUCGAUUGCGGCGGCUAGGAUAUAGCUGAUUUAAAAUUAGACACUCAGACGAUCAUCUCUCAAUCCGGGAGGAAGGAACGACGAGACAUCGGCGUUGACGAUCAGAGAGAAACAGAGAAGGAGAUGAAGAGAGAAAGAGAGAAAGAGUGAAUGUGUUAUGGUGUAAAUAUUUGAAAUUCAAUUUGUAUAUAUGUACAUGAUCCAUUUGUUGAACUCGUUAUAUGUAUAUAAAUCUAUAGAUACGUCGUUUAAAU
RNAcentral lists this unclassified non-coding RNA (2004 nucleotides) under Neodiprion lecontei (redheaded pine sawfly). Its description in RNAcentral is "glycerol-3-phosphate dehydrogenase [NAD(+)], cytoplasmic, transcript variant X3". The record is from RNAcentral. Lineage: Eukaryota; Metazoa; Arthropoda; Insecta; Hymenoptera; Diprionidae.